This 3366-nucleotide long non-coding RNA is filed under the name Sinocyclocheilus grahami. Its description in RNAcentral is "lncRNA (ENSSGRG00000000339.1)". Lineage: Eukaryota; Metazoa; Chordata; Actinopteri; Cypriniformes; Cyprinidae. The record is from RNAcentral.
CAUCAAUUCAUAUUCAUUUGAGAUUCAUGGAAUCUUUCCCCCCAGCAUUUACAACUAUCCUAUAUAAAUCAUUCAUGCGAAAAUGCUGACUGCAAAAGAGAGAACCAGAAUUUGAACUGAUAUAUGAUACAGAAAAGGCCCCUCCAUAAAUGUCAAUAAUACACUCUGUACAAAUCCACUCUUUCACAGUCAGCACGGUGUAGGUGAGACUCGUGCAGGUGUCAGAUUUCAUGUGAAACGUCAGCCAAUGAGACAUUCACAUCACGGCCCUGUCAAACGCACACGGGUUAAGACAGCCAGGAAGUUCCCAUUCUGCCAGGAAGGUUGACAAAGGAGCUCAUGUGAGAAUAGAGACAGUCAUAAGCGCAUGUGAACGAUACCUGCAGCAGAGGACUACAAUUUGAAUAAGAAGAUGCUGCGUUUACUCAUUCUGUUUUUGAUUCUUCGAGGUGUAGCUGCAACAUCAGAAGACACAGAAGGAAAUUCUUCAGGAGAUAAUAUCAGUGACGAUGAGGAUGGUGACGAUGUAGUGAAGCAAAGGCGUCCUGUAUAUGCAGGUUCUGAAAUUCCUGGAGCAAGUCCUGGAUCAGAUAAAUCCACAGGAGACGAUGAAGCUAAUGGAGGUGGAUCAUUGGUAAUCAUCAUAGCUGCCGUUAGCGCCAUAGUUCUGGCCAUUGGAGGUAUUGUAGCUAUUGUCCUCUUCAGACGCUACUUGCAAAGCCGAGAACAGGGGGUCUACUCCGUGCCAGCAGAGCAAGGACAGAAAGCUGCUGUCUAACCAUCAGGGCCUUUUCAUUUCCCCUCUCCACUGGAUCCUUUCAGGGACGUGCUGCAAGCAUGUGAUUUCUCAUCCGAACGUAUCUAUAUCUAUAGCGGAUUCUAUAACAUCAGUAGACGAGAAUGUGUUGCUAUCACAAAUUUCCUAUGAACCGUUUUUAAAUGCACAAUGUAUACUGUUCAUGCACACAUGCCGUAUGUUGCACUCACAGAGAAAGUCCUUGGACUGUGUAGUACAGCUCAUUGGAACAUUUUCCUCUCUGCCUGCAAUACUUUUUUAUUUAAAUCAAGUUUUUAAACUCUGCUUAAAGGUGUGUAAUAUUUUUCCAUCUUUAGAUAUUCUCCUUAAAAGUAAGCCAUUCAUGGUCAUCAAAAAUAUAAACAAAUGGCAUGAGUUUGGGGUGGGACCAUCUAAUUAACUAGCCAAUGGCAGACAGUGCCACAGAAAUCAUGAACUGCAGCUUUAAGCAAACAUCCUCCUUAUUUUUGCUCCCGGUCCUCAAAUGUUAGCUGUCCCCAGUGCGUUUAAAGUGACAAAAUCAAGGCGGUUAAAAGAUAAAGCUGGUCUCUGGCUCUCUGAUUAUUUGACAAAAGAGAGAAAGAAGCGGAGAGGGAAAAACGAGUGGAACUCUGAACACCCACUUGUCAAAUGGUGAAUUAAUCAACCACUUUCUUUUUCCUUUCUUUCACCGUGGCCAACUCCUCUAAAGCACAGCAGAUUGUAAAUAGCUCUGGGAUGCUGAGUAGCAGACUAAUGUUUCAUAUAUACUCCUGGCUUUAAUAGGAAGACAAUCAACAUGAUUAUUUAAACAACAACAACAACAAAAACAAAAGUAUGCACCAUGUAUUAACUACCUCAAAGCUCAGAGUAAGUCUGUAUUUAAAGGUUUAUUUUAUGCCAAAAAUGAAUGGGAAUUUUUAUUUCUGGAACCCUGUUGCACUAUAUUGGCCGUCAUCGAUCGGUCAAACUGCUACUUUAAUGUCUCUCAUAUCAUAUUUCAGAGGACUUUAGUAUUGAAAUAUGAUAUGUAUUGAAGUCUUGUUGUUAGGCUGAUUUGCAGUCAACAAAGGUAUCUAAUAAACCUGCAAAAAGUGAGUAAUAUUUGACUAAUCUCAUGACCCGCUCCGUUUAAAAAUAUAACAGCUUUCAUUAAGCUUUUACUUGGUAUGCAUCAUUUUAAACAUAUCUGUCAUUAAUUCCAUUAUGUGUUAAACGUUUUAAUGAGGAAAACAUCCUGUUAAGGGAAAGGCAGAAAAAAAUGGAGCAUCAAGUCUUAAAGAUUUAAUCAAAGUCUCCAUAGUGAACUGACUGUUCUCUCUCUGUUUCUCUAGGGUCUACUCCGUGCCAGCAGAGCAAGGACAGAAAGCUGCUGUCUAACCAUCAGGGCCUUUUCAUUUCCCCUCUCCACUGGAUCCUUUCAGGGACGUGCUGCAAGCAUGUGAUUUCUCAUCCGAACGUAUCUAUAUCUAUAGCGGAUUCUAUAACAUCAGUAGACGAGAAUGUGUUGCUAUCACAAAUUUCCUAUGAACCGUUUUUAAAUGCACAAUGUAUACUGUUCAUGCACACAUGCCAUAUGUUGCACUCACAGAGAAAGUCCUUGGACUGUGUAGUACAGCUCAUUGGAACAUUUUCCUCUCUGCCUGCAAUACUUUUUUAUUUAAAUCAAGUUUUUAAACUCUGCUUAAAGGUGUGUAAUAUUUUUCCAUCUUUAGAUAUUCUCCUUAAAAGUAAGCCAUUCAUGGUCAUCAAAAAUAUAAACAAAUGGCAUGAGUUUGGGGUGGGACCAUCUAAUUAACUAGCCAAUGGCAGACAGUGCCACAGAAAUCAUGAACUGCAGCUUUAAGCAAACAUCCUCCUUAUUUUUGCUCCCGGUCCUCAAAUGUUAGCUGUCCCCAGUGCGUUUAAAGUGACAAAAUCAAGGCGGUUAAAAGAUAAAGCUGGUCUCUGGCUCUCUGAUUAUUUGACAAAAGAGAGAAAGAAGCGGAGAGGGAAAAACGAGUGGAACUCUGAACACCCACUUGUCAAAUGGUGAAUUAAUCAACCACUUUCUUUUUCCUUUCUUUCACCGUGGCCAACUCCUCUAAAGCACAGCAGAUUGUAAAUAGCUCUGGGAUGCUGAGUAGCAGACUAAUGUUUCAUAUAUACUCCUGGCUUUAAUAGGAAGACAAUCCGAUGGGUGGAUGGAAUAAAGAUACAACACGUAGCUACAAUGAGGUCCAAAAGUCCAUUACCCACUUUCAAAACAGAUUUUUGAAAAGUUUUGAAAAUGCCCUCAGGCAUUUUUUCCACUCAAUGAAACGACUGUUUAUGCAAGGCGCGGUGUUUCCGUGACGGUUUGAAGCAAGUCAGUCGAGGCACGCGAUUGGGUGUCUAUUGCUAAGAGUUCUGGCACCGCAGUGAGGGGUUAAUACCGCAAAAGCGGUGUCAAACCGGCUUCUAAAUUACAAGUGUAAAACCUACUUUUACCCGGGGUUAAAAGCAGAGUCUGUAAGUACAGUAAAGUGGAGUAACGCGAGGUGUGAAAGCCCAAAUGUGGAUCCUUUGUCAAUUUACUAGCAGUUUCUGAGUGAAAAAAGUAAGUUCCCCCC